CUCAGACUUCAUUCAAAAUGUGGGUGUUUGAUGGAGAGUUGCGGUUAGUGAGAGUUUGGAGACAGUUUGGAGGUUUAUGAGAGUGAGGAGAGAAAGUCAGGAGAGAAUGGAGCCAGCUAAGAAGAGGAGGAUGUCCUCCCCUGUGUGGGAACAUUUUGAUCUUAUUCCUCCCAACAAGGUGAAGUGUUUGCUAUGUGCCAGGGAGCUGGGAUAUAACAACAACACCUCAUCCAUGCUUAGGCACUACAGAGCUUUGCAUGAGAAUAAGGGGAACACCGAUUGUGGAGCAAGACCAGGAGAACAAUCUCCAAUAGAUGAAGACCUGGUUACCAUGGUGAUUGAGGACUCCCAGCCAUUUAGCAUUGUGGAGGACAAAGGAUUCAAAAGAUUUGUUAAAUCAUUAAAUCCUAGCUAUGUUCUCCCCACUAAAAAGGUCAUAAAAGCAGUGAAAAUUUAGUUUUUACAGAAUAAAAUGUGAACAGGCAGGACUGAGGCUCA
This is a long non-coding RNA of Astatotilapia calliptera (eastern happy), 498 nucleotides long. NCBI's taxonomy places the organism in Eukaryota, Metazoa, Chordata, Actinopteri, Cichliformes, Cichlidae. The record is from Ensembl.